Molecule: ribosomal RNA, 253 nt
Filed under: uncultured bacterium
Lineage: Bacteria
Description: partial 16S ribosomal RNA
Rfam family: Bacterial small subunit ribosomal RNA
Source: RNAcentral
UACAGAGGGUGCGAACGUUGCUCGGAAUUACUGGGCGUAAAGCGCAUGUAGGCGGGUCGGCAAGUCAGAUGUGAAAUCCCCGGGCUCAACCUGGGAACUGCAUCUGAAACUGCUGGUCUUGAGUACUGGAGAGGGUGGCGGAAUUCCUGGUGUAGAGGUGAAAUUCGUAGAUAUCAGGAGGAACACCGGUGGCGAAGGCGGCCUGCUGGGCAGUAGCUGACACUGAGGCGCGACAGCGUGGGGAGCAAACAGG